GAAGUAGAAGAUGGAGAGAAUCCACUCUGACUUCAGGGGACAGGAUCAGCUUGAUGGAGAACUCACUGUCAUUCACACAUUCAUUACCCGCUUACAGAUCAAUACGGCAGCCGUUGGAGGACACAACAACAGGAAGCAGAGAUGGGGCCUUCCGGAUGCUGCCACACAAAACCUCGGCCUUCCCAGGCUGGACACUGUUAAGUGUGAGAAACAGGAGAGUCCUCGUCCCUCGUUCUGCUGCCACUGAAAGCUGAGCUUCUUCUCUGUGAGCCCACAGCCCGAUCCAGACUCUCCAGUCCUGAGCUGUGGCCAGGUCAUGUUUAUACCCCCUCAGCUGGACCCUGCAGGGACUCCUGCCAGGCUCUUCAAGGAGGACAAUAAGGGUUUCCUAAUGCCCGGGGCUCAAGUUUAAAAAAAGUCUUUCAGCACUCGAUUGCGCAGGAGCCUCCUCUGAUUCCUACUGAUUCUCCUUCAAGUGAAAUAAUAUCCACUUAGAAAAAAAGCCAGAUGGAAAGCCAAGGACCCCUGCUGGCUACAAGAAGACUGAAUGUGGGCUCUUCAGACUGAGUCUGCCCUGCUGGUUGGGGGCGGGGCGUAGUCCAUGGCCAGCCAGGGCCACAAGACAGCAAGAUGACCCCAGUGUGCACGGCAUGGCCAGUCAGAAGGUGCAUUCUCUAGCCAUGUCCAUCAGCAAGAUCCGUACUCUCUUUGAAACCAGGAGCCAUGCACGGAUGGUGUAAAUCAGGGAGGGUCCCUAAAGGUGUGGGUUCCAGAUUUUGUGUAUUCAGAGGGGUGUGAAGAUACUGAUUAACCUCCAACUCUGCAAAAAACACAUAUGUAUUAAAAAAUUCUAG
Long non-coding RNA from Mesocricetus auratus (golden hamster), 854 nucleotides. RefSeq lists it as uncharacterized. NCBI's taxonomy places the organism in Eukaryota, Metazoa, Chordata, Mammalia, Rodentia, Cricetidae. The record is from RefSeq and is a predicted model, not a curated record. The transcript has 3 exons.